AGGGAAUAUUGCGCAAUGGACGGAAGUCUGACGCAGCGACGCCGCGUGAGCGAUGAAGGCCUUCGGGUCGUAAAGCUCUGUCCUUGGGGAAGAAGGUCUUCGGACUUGACGGUACCCAAGAAGAAAGCCCCGGCUAACUACGUGCCAGCAGCCGCGGUAAUACGUAGGGGGCGAGCGUUGUCCGGAAUUACUGGGCGUAAAGGGUGCGUAGGCGGCCCUUUAAGUCAGAUGUGAAAGGCCACGGCUUAACCGUGGGAUUGCAUUUGAAACUGGAGGGCUUGAGUGUCGGAGAGGGUAGUGGAAUUCCCAGUGUAGCGGUGAAAUGCGUAGAUAUUGGGAGGAACACCAGUGGCGAAGGCGACUACCUGGACGAUAACUGACGCUGAGGCACGAAAGCUAGGGGAGCAAAC
This 410-nucleotide ribosomal RNA is filed under the name uncultured bacterium. RNAcentral's name for it is "bacterial SSU rRNA". It matches the Rfam family "Bacterial small subunit ribosomal RNA", at positions 356 to 773 of the family's 1533-position model. The record is from RNAcentral.